AUUGAACGCUGGCGGCAUGCCUUACACAUGCAAGUCGAACGGCAGCACGGGUGCUUGCCCCUGGUGGCGAGUGGCGAACGGGUGAGUAAUCCAUCGGAACAUGUCCUGUAGUGGGGGAUAGCCCGGCGAAAGCCGGAUUAAUACCGCAUACGAUCUACGGAUGAAAGCGGGGGACCUUCGGGCCUCGCGCUAUAGGGUUGGCCGAUGGCUGAUUAGCUAGUUGGUGGGGUAAAGGCCUACCAAGGCGACGAUCAGUAGCUGGUCUGAGAGGACGACCAGCCACACUGGGACUGAGACACGGCCCAGACUCCUACGGGAGGCAGCAGUGGGGAAUUUUGGACAAUGGGCGAAAGCCUGAUCCAGCAAUGCCGCGUGUGUGAAGAAGGCCUUCGGGUUGUAAAGCACUUUUGUCCGGAAAGAAAUGCUUGGCCCUAAUACGGUCGGGGGAUGACGGUACCGGAAGAAUAAGCACCGGCUAACUACGUG
Molecule: ribosomal RNA, 486 nt
Filed under: uncultured bacterium
Lineage: Bacteria
Description: partial 16S ribosomal RNA
Rfam family: Bacterial small subunit ribosomal RNA
Source: RNAcentral